CAAUAUUUCAGAAAUGUCAAGCAAUGUCGAACUGCACAGCCAAUCGCAUCGAAGCGCUAUGACAUUUGGACCAAUCGCGUCGAAGCGCUAUAACAUUUUCAGCCAAUCAAAAAGCGCAAUUCAUAACAUUCUCUUAACAUUCGUGACAUUUGACCAAUCAGAGAACAGGGAGAUGUCGACGGCACGUUUCCGCGUUUCACCGCUAGGUGGAGGGGUCAGCGCUUCUAGUCAGGUGUCAAUCAAGUUGCCGAACCAUGCCGAAGGUGUACGAAAGAAUGACAUAAUCCCCAGGGGGCGUGUCAGAGGUCAAAAAAGUUCAUUACUGAAGUUCAUGACCUACGACGAGGGUCAUUGCCGCGGAGAUCAGCAUCAUUUUUACGGAGGACAGCGAAACUUCAUUUUAAAACUAAAUACAGCGGUAUUACCGACGACAACAGGUAAGAAAUUGUCAUCUAAUUACAAACUUCUACAUGUUUUAUUAUUUUUUUAUUUUUUUUAGUGUGUCGUUUAAUUGUUCAUUUAAAACUGUUUCAUUGAAGUCAAGAAAAAUGUCUGGCAAACAACAAAAAUCACAUAAGGCGAUGUCGGACGCCGAAUGGAUUUCGCGUUUAAAAAAGUUUGCCAGUACAGGAAUUUGGCCAUCAAAUGAGGGUAACAGGCCAGCUCCUCGACAGAAAAAGUGGUACGAGAUUUAUCAAAGGAUUGAGAAAUGUCCGAUGCUGUCUCGUGGCCAAACAACCUUGCUUGGAGGUGUGCUGAAAUGCAUCUGUGGUUUUCACAUUCCAAAGCAGCCCACUGCCUCUACUGGACCAGCACAAAGGGUGGUGGAACAACCUGCUGCUGCUGAAACAGCAAAGAAGGCCAUGGAGCGGAGUCAGCCUGACCCCCAGCCUCAUCCCCUGCCCCAGCCCCAGCCUACUGCACCAGUGGAAGCAAGAGUUGCACCACAAUUUUCAACGGUAUGAAAUACUUUUUUUUUUUUUUUUUAAUAGGACUGAAGUACGAGUUCAGUUCAUAUUGGAGGAAGUUCAGAAAGUAACAAGAAACAAAGAAAAAGCAAGAAUGCUAUGAGAUGCUGGCUGACACCUGCUAAUUGUCACACCUCUUGUACAGUGGGGGCAGCUGUUGUCUACUGAUUGGUCGGUUUGAAUAUCUCAGCUAUGGUUUAAGUCACAUGGUCAAGGAAAAAUGAAGAAUGUAACCUGUGUGCUUUCUCUCUUUCAUCUCUGGGCUCUACUCUUGGAUUGUCCUCUAUCUCUCUAACUGAGCUCUGCCUGGGUUGAAGGUCACUGAGCUGGACUCAUGUCCCUCAUGGCAUCUCUCUCUAUACUUCUCAUGUGUUAAAGCUACAUUUUCUCUUUUUCAUUCUCUAUCUCAGGUAACAUUCCACAUACAUGCUGGCUAUUAUUAAUUGUACACAUGCUAAUAAUUAUUCCAUCAUGCAAAUACUGUGUACUGUAGUUAUUUCAAGAGUCAGUACUGCUAAUAAAUCAUCCCUCUUAUGGACGACACUUCCAUUCAGAAAGAAGUGUUUUUGAAGGCUGCAUUUACUUAAAAUAGUAAUAUUAAUAUAAAUAGUAAUGCAUGCUAUUAUAACACAUUCUGUCUUCUCACCUUUUUAGUUUACCAAGCCAAGAUUUACUGGCUCUCACCUUGCUGCAGCAAAGCCAAAUCUUAGUUUGGCCAGGAGACCUUCUCAGGUUGAAGACCAGCCCAGCGCAGCAGUGUCUAGUGGCUCUAUACCAAGCACCACUGCCUCUGUAAGUAAUGGCAUAAUCUGUAUUGUAUUCUAUAAAGACACGUUCCACGUUCCAUUCCAUAUAAAUUAUUUAACUCUUUAAAAUAUUUUUAAUACCAGAAAACCAUAUUUUAAUAAAGAAAAAAAUCAAUAUUUUAUAAAUAGAUUUCAUACAAACUACCAUUCAAAAGUUAUUGAUAUUAAUAUUGAUUAAAAUAUUGAUACUUUUACUGAAAAAGGAGUCAUUAAAUUGAUAAAAAAAAUCUCAGUAAAGACAUUUAAUGUUACAAAUGAUUUCUAUAAAUUUAUUGUAAUGUUAUUAUGUUAUAAAUUAUGUAUGUUAUUAAUGUUAUUAAUGUUAUGGUUUCUCCCAAGGUUUUUUCUCCAUUCUGUCACUGAUGGAGUUUUGGUUCCUUGCCGCUGUUGCCUCUGGCUUGCUUAGUUGGGGACACUUCAUUUACAGCGAUAUCGUUGACUUGAUUGCAAAUUAUUGCACAGAUACUAUUUAAACUGAACUGAGCUGCAUGAUGACAUCACUGAAUUCAAUGAUGAACUGCCUUUAACUGUCAUUUUGCAUUAUUGACACACUGUUUUCCUAAUUAAUGUUGUUCAGUUGCUUUGAUGCAAUCUUUUUUGUUUAAAGCGCUAUAUAAAUAAAGAUGACUUGACUUGACUUGUUAUAUUUACAAAAUCUAUUAUAUUUUACUUCAUGAUUGUACAGACACCAGAUCCUCAAGUUCCAUGCCCUGUCCCCAGAGCCACUGCAGAUGUGUCCAGUCCCGCUCAGCCAUGCAAUAUUGUCUCAGUAAGUAACUUCCUAUUCUGUUGGUCCUUCAAAAAUGUAAUUAAAUCAGCUGUUGCCAGACACUUAAUGGAGAUGUGAAAAGGCUUACAUGGCCUUUAAACUAAAUAAC
Cyprinus carpio carpio is the source of this 2652-nucleotide long non-coding RNA. Lineage: Eukaryota; Metazoa; Chordata; Actinopteri; Cypriniformes; Cyprinidae. The record is from Ensembl.